Molecule: ribosomal RNA, 497 nt
Filed under: uncultured bacterium
Lineage: Bacteria
Description: partial 16S ribosomal RNA
Rfam family: Bacterial small subunit ribosomal RNA
Source: RNAcentral
GACGAACGCUGGCGGCGUGCCUAAUACAUGCAAGUUGAGCGCUGAAGGUUGGUACUUGUACCAACUGGAUGAGCAGCGAACGGGUGAGUAACGCGUGGGGAAUCUGCCUUUGAGCGGGGGACAACAUUUGGAAACGAAUGCUAAUACCGCAUAAAAACUUUAAACACAAGUUUUAAGUUUGAAAGAUGCAAUUGCAUCACUCAAUGAUGAUCCCGCGUUUUAUUAGCUAGUUGGUGAGGUAAAGGCUCACCAAGGCGAUGAUACAUAGCCGACCUGAGAGGGUGAUCGGCCAAAUUGGGACUGAGACACGGCCCAAACUCCUACGGGAGGCAGCAGGAGGGAAUCUUCGGCAAUGGACGAAAGUCUGACCGAGCAACGCCGCGUGAGGGAAGAAGGGUUUCGGAUCGUAAAACUCUGUUGGUAGAGAAGAACGUUGGUGAGAGUGGAAAGCUCAUCAAGUGACGGUAACUACCCAGAAAGGGACGGCUAACUACGUG